CCUACGGGAGGCAGCAGUGAGGAAUAUUGGUCAAUGGACGAGAGUCUGAACCAGCCAAGUAGCGUGAAGGAUGAAUGCCCUAUGGGUUGUAAACUUCAUUUAUAUGGGAAUAAAAUGUUCCACGUGUGGGAUUUUGUAUGUACCAUAUGAAUAAGGAUCGGCUAACUCCGUGCCAGCAGCCGCGGUAAUACGGAGGAUCCGAGCGUUAUCCGGAUUUAUUGGGUUUAAAGGGAGCGUAGGUGGGUUGUUAAGUCAGUUGUGAAAGUUUGCGGCCCAACCGUAAAAUUGCAGUUGAAACUGGCAGUCUUGAGUACAGUAGAGGUGGGCGGAAUUCGUGGUGUAGCGGUGACAUGCUUAGAUAUCACGAAGAACUCCGAUUGCGAAGGCAGCUCACUGGACUGCAACUGACGCUGAGGCUCGAAAGUGUGGGUAUCAAACAGGAUUAGAUACCCGAGUAGUC
RNAcentral lists this ribosomal RNA (460 nucleotides) under uncultured bacterium. RNAcentral's name for it is "partial 16S ribosomal RNA". It matches the Rfam family "Bacterial small subunit ribosomal RNA", at positions 338 to 795 of the family's 1533-position model. The record is from RNAcentral.